AGAGGCCACAAGCAUUAGUCGGAAUCACUGGGCUUAAAGGGUGCGUAGGUUGUCCAUCAAGUGUUUUGUGAAAUCCCACGGCUCAACCGUGGAACAGCAGGACCUACUGAUGGACUUGAGGCAAGUAGGGGCUGACGGAACAGUAGGUGGAGCGGUGAAAUGCGUAGAUAUCUACUGGAACGCCGAUGGUGAAGACGGUCAGCUGGGCUUGUCCUGACACUGAGGCACGAAAGCGUGGGGAGCAAACAGGAUUAGAUACCCUGGUAGUCCACGCUGUAAACGAUGCGCACUGGACCGGUGCGGUUUUGACGCCGUAUCGGUCGUAGUAAAAACGAUAAGUGCGCCGCCUGGGGAGUACGGUCGCAAGAUUA
This 371-nucleotide ribosomal RNA is filed under the name uncultured bacterium. RNAcentral describes it as "bacterial SSU rRNA". It matches the Rfam family "Bacterial small subunit ribosomal RNA", at positions 527 to 896 of the family's 1533-position model. The record is from RNAcentral.